This 1722-nucleotide ribosomal RNA is filed under the name Campylobacter jejuni. RNAcentral describes it as "partial 23S ribosomal RNA". It matches the Rfam family "Bacterial large subunit ribosomal RNA", at positions 1222 to 2925 of the family's 2925-position model. Lineage: Bacteria; Pseudomonadati; Campylobacterota; Epsilonproteobacteria; Campylobacterales; Campylobacteraceae. The record is from RNAcentral.
UAAGUGGUAGGAGAGCGUUCUAUUUGCGUCGAAGGUAUACCGGUAAGGAGUGCUGGAGCGAAUAGAAGUGAGCAUGCAGGCAUGAGUAGCGAUAAUUAAUGUGAGAAUCAUUAACGCCGUAAACCCAAGGUUUCCUACGCGAUGCUCGUCAUCGUAGGGUUAGUCGGGUCCUAAGUCGAGUCCGAAAGGGGUAGACGAUGGCAAAUUGGUUAAUAUUCCAAUACCAACAUUAGUGUGCGAUGGAAGGACGCUUAGGGCUAAGGGGGCUAGCGGAUGGAAGUGCUAGUCUAAGGUCGUAGGAGGUUAUACAGGCAAAUCCGUAUAACAAUACUCCGAGAACUGAAAGGCUUUUUGAAGUCUUCGGAUGGAUAGAAGAACCCCUGAUGCCGUCGAGCCAAGAAAAGUUUCUAAGUUUAGCUAAUGUUGCCCGUACCGUAAACCGACACAGGUGGGUGGGAUGAGUAUUCUAAGGCGCGUGGAAGAACUCUCUUUAAGGAACUCUGCAAAAUAGCACCGUAUCUUCGGUAUAAGGUGUGGUUAGCUUUGUAUUAGGAUUUACUCCGAAAGCAAGGAAACUUACAACAAAGAGUCCCUCCCGACUGUUUACCAAAAACACAGCACUCUGCUAACUCGUAAGAGGAUGUAUAGGGUGUGACGCCUGCCCGGUGCUCGAAGGUUAAUUGAUGGGGUUAGCAUUAGCGAAGCUCUUGAUCGAAGCCCGAGUAAACGGCGGCCGUAACUAUAACGGUCCUAAGGUAGCGAAAUUCCUUGUCGGUUAAAUACCGACCUGCAUGAAUGGCGUAACGAGAUGGGAGCUGUCUCAAAGAGGGAUCCAGUGAAAUUGUAGUGGAGGUGAAAAUUCCUCCUACCCGCGGCAAGACGGAAAGACCCCGUGGACCUUUACUACAGCUUGACACUGCUACUUGGAUAAGAAUGUGCAGGAUAGGUGGGAGGCUUUGAGUAUAUGACGCCAGUUGUAUAUGAGCCAUUGUUGAGAUACCACUCUUUCUUAUUUGGGUAGCUAACCAGCUUGAGUUAUCCUCAAGUGGGACAAUGUCUGGUGGGUAGUUUGACUGGGGCGGUCGCCUCCCAAAUAAUAACGGAGGCUUACAAAGGUUGGCUCAGAACGGUUGGAAAUCGUUCGUAGAGUAUAAAGGUAUAAGCCAGCUUAACUGCAAGACAUACAAGUCAAGCAGAGACGAAAGUCGGUCUUAGUGAUCCGGUGGUUCUGUGUGGAAGGGCCAUCGCUCAAAGGAUAAAAGGUACCCCGGGGAUAACAGGCUGAUCUCCCCCAAGAGCUCACAUCGACGGGGAGGUUUGGCACCUCGAUGUCGGCUCAUCGCAUCCUGGGGCUGGAGCAGGUCCCAAGGGUAUGGCUGUUCGCCAUUUAAAGCGGUACGCGAGCUGGGUUCAGAACGUCGUGAGACAGUUCGGUCCCUAUCUGCCGUGGGCGUAAGAAGAUUGAAGAGAUUUGACCCUAGUACGAGAGGACCGGGUUGAACAAACCACUGGUGUAGCUGUUGUUCUGCCAAGAGCAUCGCAGCGUAGCUAAGUUUGGAAAGGAUAAACGCUGAAAGCAUCUAAGCGUGAAGCCAACUCUAAGAUGAAUCUUCUCUAAGCUCUCUAGAAGACUACUAGUUUGAUAGGCUGGGUGUGUAAUGGAUGAAAGUCCUUUAGCUGACCAGUACUAAUAGAGCGUUUGGCUUAUCUUUAAUAAAGCAU